CGGGAAGGCCAGGCGGCGACGCCGAGCGGAACCCGAAAAAGGACGGCCUCAGUUCGGAUUGGAGUCUGCAACCCGACUCCAUGAAGCUGGAUUCGCUAGUAAUCGCGCAUCAGCCACGGCGCGGUGAAUACGUUCCCGGGCCUUGUACACACCGCCCGUCAAGCCAUGGGAGCCGGGAGUGCCUGAAGUGCGCGGCCGCGAGGAGCGCCCUAGGGCAAGACUGGUGACUGGGGCUAAGUCGUAACAAGGUAAC
RNAcentral lists this ribosomal RNA (253 nucleotides) under uncultured bacterium. RNAcentral's name for it is "partial 16S ribosomal RNA". It matches the Rfam family "Bacterial small subunit ribosomal RNA", at positions 1243 to 1500 of the family's 1533-position model. The record is from RNAcentral.